Molecule: microRNA precursor, 164 nt
Filed under: Triticum aestivum (bread wheat)
Lineage: Eukaryota; Viridiplantae; Streptophyta; Magnoliopsida; Poales; Poaceae
Also listed under: 1 other name
Description: MIR2118 microRNA precursor family
Rfam family: MIR2118 microRNA precursor family
Source: Rfam by way of RNAcentral
GAUGGGAAGAGGAAGAAAGAGGGUCUAAGAGUGGUAAGCAUGGGAACAUGAUGGAAGGCUAAAGACCUCAGUUACUUGUCUAAAACUGGAAGAGGCUGUGUUGAGUUUCCCUGAUGCCUCCCAUGCAUAUUGUUCUUUGGCGUUCUUUCCUCUUCCUUCUGGAU